UUUGAGAGGCCAAGGUGGAAGGCUCACUUGAGGCCAGGAAUUUGAGACCAGUCUGGGCAACAUAGUGAGACCUUGUGUCUACAAAAA
Molecule: microRNA precursor, 87 nt
Filed under: Otolemur garnettii (small-eared galago)
Lineage: Eukaryota; Metazoa; Chordata; Mammalia; Primates; Galagidae
Description: miRNA (ENSOGAG00000026742.1)
Source: RNAcentral